Molecule: ribosomal RNA, 253 nt
Filed under: uncultured bacterium
Lineage: Bacteria
Description: partial 16S ribosomal RNA
Rfam family: Bacterial small subunit ribosomal RNA
Source: RNAcentral
UACGUAGGGUGCAAGCGUUGUCCGGAAUUAUUGGGCGUAAAGAGCUCGUAGGCGGUUUGUCGCGUCUGCUGUGAAAACUCGGGGCUCAACUCCGAGCUUGCAGUGGGUACGGGCAGACUAGAGUGCGGUAGGGGAGACUGGAAUUCCUGGUGUAGCGGUGGAAUGCGCAGAUAUCAGGAGGAACACCGGUGGCGAAGGCGGGUCUCUGGGCCGUAACUGACGCUGAGGAGCGAAAGCGUGGGGAGCAAACAGG